RNAcentral lists this transfer RNA (77 nucleotides) under Marmota monax (woodchuck). Its description in RNAcentral is "tRNA.Ala". Lineage: Eukaryota; Metazoa; Chordata; Mammalia; Rodentia; Sciuridae. The record is from RNAcentral.
GGCUGGGACGUGGCUCAGGGGUAGAGUGCUUGCCUAGCAUGCCCAAGGCCCUGCGUUCCACCCCCAGCACCAAGCCU